AACGAACGCUGGCGGCGCGCCUAAUACAUGCAAGCCGAGCGAGAAGACGUAGCAAUACGUUUGUAAAGCGGCGAACGGGUGAGGAAUACAUGGGUAACCUACCCCUAGAGUGGGGAAUAACUAGCCGAAAGGUUAGCUAAUACCGCGUACGCUUCUUGGACUUCGGUUCAGGGAGGAAAGCGAUACCGUGGGCAUCGCGCUCUUGGAUGGGCUCAUGUCCUAUCAGCUUGUUGGNGAGGUAACGGCUCACCAAGGCUUCGACGGGUAGCUGGUCUGAGAGGACGAUCAGCCACACUGGCACUGCGACACGGGCCAGACUCCUACGGGAGGCAGCAGUAAGGAAUAUUGCGCAAUGGGCGAAAGCCUGA
RNAcentral lists this ribosomal RNA (368 nucleotides) under uncultured bacterium. RNAcentral's name for it is "bacterial SSU rRNA". It matches the Rfam family "Bacterial small subunit ribosomal RNA", at positions 29 to 386 of the family's 1533-position model. The record is from RNAcentral.